This 1277-nucleotide long non-coding RNA is filed under the name Sus scrofa (pig). Its description in RNAcentral is "lncRNA (ENSSSCG00030042017.1)". Lineage: Eukaryota; Metazoa; Chordata; Mammalia; Artiodactyla; Suidae. The record is from RNAcentral.
CCACUGUGCUGGGCCAGGGAUCCAACCUGUGUUCCAGUGCUCCCAAGAUGCUGCUGAUCCCAUUGCCCCAAAGUGGAAACUCCUGGAAUUCUUUGUCUAUAACUCAUUUAAUAAAUUUAAGAGCAUGCAUCAGUGAUCUUCAUCCUCAUAGAAAGUGAACAGCACCCAUUUUAUUUCCUUCACCCAGCCCCACACAGAAAUAGGAUGCCCUUUAAGAUUUUAUCUCCAGCUUUUCUUCAAUUUUAAAGAUAUUUUCCUGGGCCUAGGCUUUUUAAUUUUUCUGAAGCAAAAAUGAAUAAAUACUGUGUCUAUGGUGGAUAAAAAAAGAUAAGUAAUCUUACUAGUUUGCCAAAUAUACACUUCCAAAAAAAAAAAAGGAGGCAUUUACUGUCUUAAGUCAGGCUAAAAAUAAUAUUAUUUAAGGGUGUAUAGGUAAUUGAAGAAAUCAAGUUUUCCCUUCACUUACUAUCUGGAUAAUUGCCUAAUUUUCCCACUGUCAUCAUCCUGUCCUGCUAGUGUUGCUUUAUACACAACCUGGUCUUCCCUUUUGUUGUAUUUAUUUUUUCUUUAAGACACCCUUCAAAUAUUAAAAAAAAAAGAGAGAGGCUAUACAAUUUGCAUCAUGACUUAAAACUAUUAGAAGAUAGGAAUUCAGUAGUUGAGACAAUGCGUUUCAAAACUCCAAAAGAUAACAGGUUUAAAGAAAUUGGCAUAUGUUAGUGAUUAUGCAAUCAUUCAUUUCCCACAGAUUUCUUUUUAUAGGAAACUUUGGAAAAUCCCAGAAGAACUGACCGAGUCAUUUCAACCACAACAGGUUUCUUUCAACAUCAAAAUCAUGGGUAGGAGUGGGCGAGGAAUAAUUUUCUUUCUUUUUUUUUUUAAAGGCAUGGGCAGCCUGGUUCUGAGUGUGCAAAGCUGUGGCUUCCCCUCCUAUAGACGCCUUCUGAACAGCAAAUCUGACUUCCUCCUCAGACCAAGGCAUCCUGAAAACAUCCAAGCAGAGGAAGCAUUUUUUCACCAUGACAUGGGAAAGGGCCACAGAGAUCCAAAUGGAAACGGACAUUUCAUACCAAUGCAUUGGAUGAUAACUGGUACAUCGUCAAGGGACAGAAGUGUCAACAGGUUUUUGUGACCAAGUACAUUCAUCUGAGCUGUUAGCUGCUACGCUUCACUGCCUCCUCCUAUGAUCUGCUUGAUGGAGACCCCUGGAGAAAAUUUGUGCGUGCAUACUGUAUGUGAACUUUAGAUAAAUAAAUAAACACACGAACCAGCUUCCA